RNAcentral lists this ribosomal RNA (411 nucleotides) under uncultured Dehalococcoides sp. Its description in RNAcentral is "bacterial SSU rRNA". It matches the Rfam family "Bacterial small subunit ribosomal RNA", at positions 844 to 1266 of the family's 1533-position model. Lineage: Bacteria; Bacillati; Chloroflexota; Dehalococcoidia; Dehalococcoidales; Dehalococcoidaceae. The record is from RNAcentral.
UGCCGAACUAACGCUUUAASUGUCCCGCCUGGGGAGUACGGUCGCAAGGCUAAAACUCAAAGGAACUGACGGGGGCCCGCACAAGCAGCGGAGCGUGUGGUUUAAUUCGAUGCUACACGAAGAACCUUACCAAGAUUUGACAUGCAUGAAGUAGUGAACCGAAAGGGAAACGACCUGUUAAGUCAGGAGUUUGCACAGGUGCUGCAUGGCUGUCGUCAGCUCGUGCCGUGAGGUGUUUGGUUAAGUCCUGCAACGAGCGCAACCCUUGUUGCUAGUUAAAUUUUCUAGCGAGACUGCCCCGCGAAACGGGGAGGAAGGUGGGGAUGACGUCAAGUCAGCAUGGCCUUUAUAUCUUGGGCUACACACACGCUACAAUGGACAGAACAAUAGGUUGCAACAGUGUGAACUGGA